RNAcentral lists this ribosomal RNA (305 nucleotides) under uncultured bacterium. RNAcentral's name for it is "bacterial SSU rRNA". It matches the Rfam family "Bacterial small subunit ribosomal RNA", at positions 337 to 638 of the family's 1533-position model. The record is from RNAcentral.
ACCUACGGACGCAGCAGUGAGGAAUAUUGGUCAAUGGCCGCAGGGCUGAACCAGCCAAGUCGCGUGAGGGAUGACGGUCCUAUGGAUUGUAAACCUCUUUUGUCAGGGAGCAAAGGGCGCCACGUGUGGCGUUUUGCGAGUACCUGAAGAAAAAGCAUCGGCUAACUCCGUGCCAGCAGCCGCGGUCAUACGUAGGAUCCGAGCAUUAUCCGGAGUGACUGGGUGUAAAGAGUUGCGUAGGUGGCAUAAUAAGUAGCUAGUGAAAUCUGGUGGCUCAACCAUUCAGACUAUUAGCUAAACUGUUA